Molecule: transfer RNA, 87 nt
Filed under: TM7 phylum sp. oral taxon 351
Lineage: Bacteria; Candidatus Saccharimonadota
Also listed under: 7 other names
Description: tRNA-Leu
Rfam family: tRNA
About the family: Transfer RNA (tRNA) molecules are approximately 80 nucleotides in length. Their secondary structure includes four short double-helical elements and three loops (D, anti-codon, and T loops).
Source: RNAcentral
GGGCGAAUGGCGGAAUUGGUAGACGCGCCAGACUCAAAAUCUAGUUCCAGCAAUGGAGUGUGGGUUCGAUUCCCACUUCGCCCACCA